This is a long non-coding RNA of Coturnix japonica (Japanese quail), 2324 nucleotides long. RefSeq lists it as uncharacterized. NCBI's taxonomy places the organism in Eukaryota, Metazoa, Chordata, Aves, Galliformes, Phasianidae. The record is from RefSeq and is a predicted model, not a curated record.
AAGGAGGCUGUGGAUGCCCCUGGAUGUGCUGGAUGUGGCUCUGGGCAGCCUGGGCUGCUGGUUGGCCUACGAAGAAAAGAUAAAGACAUUUUGCCAGUCUUGAACAAUUUGAAAACUGAAGAGGUAUAAAAUCUGUUUUCACCACGUGUGGCUUUUCUGAUUGCUAAUACAAGAUGUCUACAUUUCCAAGUAAUCUUUAGAUUUAAGAGUACAUCAUAGUAUGCAAGUUGGUGGGGAGAAUACACAGAACCACAGAACAGUCUAGAAGCAAAAUGCUCCUAUACUUGAAGCUCCCUCUUUUUUCUUCUAUUUUCCUCAGCUUAUGCACACUUCCACCUGAUUUCUCCUCUGCACAGAGGUAAGAAUAUCUACCUGUCAUCUGCCCUGCAGACCAAGGCAGAGCAUCACAUCUGUGAUAAAGUAGGGUCAGUUAAAACAUUUAAUGCAGAUGUCCUUCUUUUCACUCGAUUUCCCUGUUGCUUGGUAGUUUUCCUGUUGCUCGGUAGUUGUGUUCUCUAAAAGAUAGGGAAUGGAAUGGUUUUUCAGGAAAGAAUAAAUGCAUAUUACAGGUGUUAGUGCAGCUGACUCAGUAUGAAAGUAGCUUAUAACCUUUAUGGUAAUCAGAGUAAUCUGCUAGAACAGAAAGCUCAUCAGAGACUCUGCUACAAGGGGCCAUCAAUAGUCAAUAGUUACAAUAGUCAAAGGCCUGGAAUGUUUAGGUUUAUGUUGUAAUUCAUUAAUUCAUAGUUCUGUGUGGUUUUAAAGUCUACAGAAGGAUUCUGCAUAUAACAAAUUUGCACACAACAACCAGCUAGGACAGCUUGCUUCUUGUUUCUGCCUGUUUCUACUUAACACAGCUGUUAGAAGUGCUAUCCUGAUUGCCUGUGUAUGUCCUGUAUUCUAAGAGGCAGCUCUGCAGUUGUAGGACUCUUGCUAAAAAACAUUUAGCAGAAUUGUUGCCUGACUUGUGCAACAAAUGUGAUGUGUCCUAGCAGCGGGUUAUCUAUUUUUAAAGAAUAGAUUUCUUUAUUCACAAGAGCUUGCUGGUUUUUUUUACACAUAAAUAAUUUGUUGCCUUAAAAAAGUGCAAUGGAUUUAAACACUGUAUUUUUGUCAGCUCUCCUUUGUCUUAUAUUUUGUUGAAGCUGGAAAGAAGCAGCUGUUGUCCUUCUCACUGUAAGAAUGGCUGAGGAGUGGAAUUUUCUCUACAUCUACUGCUUCAGCUCAUCAUUGGAUCCAUUUGUCUGACUUUAGAUUUACUCCAGCAGCAUUUGAGAUAAUUAAGGAGGAACUGAAAAAGCCUUUCUUCAGCAUGCCCAUCGGAUCAGAGGUGUUAGCCCAAAGUUAAAUAUGAGAAGAAAUACUCGAUACCUGCUGCUGCACAGAUAGAGGUCCUGAUGUGCUUGCUGAGGAAUCCUCGGAAACACAGCAUCCAAGUUGAAACCUCUGUUAUUGUCAUCAGGAUAAUUCACAACGAAUGUCAAACUUUGGCUGCCAACAGCUGUGUGAAGCUGGCACUCAAGGAUACCUUUGUUAACCUGUGUGCUGUUCCCAGGGCAUCCAAAACCACCACAGCUGCCUCUGAAGUGCUCCUGUUGUAGCUGUUUGGGCACCAGGACCAGCAAAGUAAGUGUGUUUUGUUAUUAACUGCUUUGAGUUGGCCAGUGUGUUAUUGUGCAGAUUGACUGUGUUACCCCUCUGAAUGGUGAGUUGGGUAUCCAAUAUAUUUAGUUAAGACAGCUGUUAGAGGAGGCAUAGCUUAGUGUGACAGGCUUGGGACUCUCAUAGGAGGCUGUGUCAUUUUUCUUAGCACCUUCUGUAAAAUCAUAUAGAAAAUAUGCCUUGGACAUAAAAUCAUACAGAGUCAUAGAAGUGUUGGGUAGGAAGGGACCUUAAAACCUAACCUAGUUCCAACCUGGAACCCACUUCACUUUUAACAACGGAGAGUUAAGGAAAAGGCAGACCAAGAUGCGAUAGAGUACCAGGCCUAAGAGACAGCAUUUGAAGUACUAAAAUGUAAUUAGUUCAGUAGGCUCAGAUUAAAAACAAACAAACAAAUCUUUCUAUAGAAACAGUGCACUGUUUUACAAAUGUAUUCAUUUGGUUUGCAGUGAUCCUUAUGCAUGUAAGUACAGCACGUGUUACACAGCAGAUCCCUCCCCAACCCUCCCUGGUCCUUUCAUCCAUACCAAAAACUGAAACACAAAAGGCACCGAGCAAGAACUUACUUUAACAGAACUUCAACAUGACGAGACAGAUCAGAAGUGAUUACAAUGUUAAAUAUCAUCCUAACAACCUGAACCGUUAUUUAAAAUAACUUCUUU